RNAcentral lists this ribosomal RNA (309 nucleotides) under uncultured Helotiales. RNAcentral's name for it is "eukaryotic LSU rRNA". The stretch from base 1 to 122 matches the Rfam family "5.8S ribosomal RNA", at positions 33 to 154 of the family's 154-position model. Lineage: Eukaryota; Fungi; Ascomycota; Leotiomycetes; Helotiales. The record is from RNAcentral.
UCGAUGAAGAACGCAGCGAAAUGCGAUAAGUAAUGUGAAUUGCAGAAUUCAGUGAAUCAUCGAAUCUUUGAACGCACAUUGCGCCCCUUGGUAUUCCGGGGGGCAUGCCUGUUCGAGCGUCAUUUCAACCCUCAAGCUCUGCUUGGUAUUGGGCCCUGCUGGCAACGGUAGGCCUUAAAAAUAGUGGCGGUGCCUUUAGGUCCUGAGCGUAGUACAUUUCUCGCUAUAGGUCCCUGAAGGUUACUGGCCAGCAACCCCAAUUUUUCUAUGGUUGACCUCGGAUCAGGUAGGGAUACCCGCUGAACUUAA